This is a long non-coding RNA of Dermacentor albipictus, 1234 nucleotides long. RefSeq lists it as uncharacterized. NCBI's taxonomy places the organism in Eukaryota, Metazoa, Arthropoda, Arachnida, Ixodida, Ixodidae. The record is from RefSeq and is a predicted model, not a curated record.
GCAUGUCAGACUUAUCAGAGCCUCUUUGUGACACAUAAAUGCCGUUUCUUUUGCUCCCGCCUUCAGUCGCUCCCAAUAUGCCACGGCGGUUAACUGCGGAGGAAAGGAGCGAAAUAAUCGGUGUAGGAAAGGCAGGCUUCUCUCAGAGGAAAAUUGCUGCCAUAAUAGGCCGUCCACAGAAAACUGCAAACCGUACCCUCAAUGCCUAUUUCAGGGAGGACCGUGUAGCGGAUGCCCCUCAUCAUCGCAGGCCCAGGAAAACGACUGAAGAUGAAGACCACCUCAUCGUAGCUGCAGCCGCCCAAGACCCCUUCACAACUGCACAAAAAAAAAUGCCGAGCAGAUCGACGUUGAUGUUAGUCUGCCCACUAUUCGAAGGCGACUUCAUGAGGCAGGACUGAAUAGUCACUUAGCCGCAAGGAAGCCCCUCCUUACGACAACUCAACUUCAGAAACGUUUAGAAUUUGCCAACCGUCACAGAAACUGGACGUCGCACCAGUGGCAGCAAGUUAUAUUCAGCGACGGCUCCACAUUCUCCACUUGCUGGAAUCAGCGACUCCGCGUCUGGAGGGUCUCCGGGUCCAGGUACGAUGAGGACAACGUCCUGAACUUUGUUGUCAGCGGACGUGUCUCUGUGAACGUGUGGGGUGCCAUCAGCUACGCAGGUCUUGGCCUGCUGUACCGCAUUCCGGGGAGGCUGACAGCUGAAGCUUACAUAGAGAUUUGUAACAGCAUUCUUCUCCCAUGUGCUAUUAUUGGACCCUUCCCGGACGGCUGCUUUUAUUUUCAACAUGGCGGGUGCCCUGUACACGCCUGCAUCUGUAGUGCAGGAGUACCUGAACAGCAGUGGCUUCGCACAGCUGGAGUGGCCACCGCGGAGUCCGGACUUCAACAUAUUUGAAAACAUCUGGGAGAUUAUAAAACUAACCUGGCUCGCAUGCAUCCGGACACAGGGAGUCCAGAAACAUUGUGGCAAGCGGUAGAAGGCGAAUGGAAUCACGUUCGAGGAGACCCGGCCGUAGCCGAGUCACUCUAUGCAUCUUUGCCCAGGAGAAUCGAAAGCCUCCAAAGGAAAGGAGGGCGCCCUAUCAAGUAUUGAUAGAAAGUCAAUGCAUGUCUGAAGCGGGCAUUAUCGACAGAGUUUAUGUUGCAUGUUAUGGAUGAGUGCAGCAUGCUGAAAAUUAUCCUUUUUUUUUUUGCAGUGAGUAAAAUAUUGAUCAAUGUUAUGCCUUAA